UACGAAGGGGGCAAGCAUUGUUCGGAAUUACUGGGCGUAAAGGGUGCGUAGGCGGAUAUCAUAGUCAGAUGUGAAAGCCCAAGGCUCAACCUUGGAAUUGCAUUUGAUACUGGAUGUCUGGAGUAUUGGAGAGGAGCGUGGAAUUCCCAGUGUAGAGGUGAAAUUCGUAGAUAUUGGGAGGAACACCAGUGGCGUAGGCGACGCUCUGGCCAAAUACUGACGCUGAGGCACGAAAGUGUGGGGAGCAAACAGG
Molecule: ribosomal RNA, 253 nt
Filed under: uncultured bacterium
Lineage: Bacteria
Description: partial 16S ribosomal RNA
Rfam family: Bacterial small subunit ribosomal RNA
Source: RNAcentral